RNAcentral lists this ribosomal RNA (441 nucleotides) under uncultured bacterium. Its description in RNAcentral is "partial 16S ribosomal RNA". It matches the Rfam family "Bacterial small subunit ribosomal RNA", at positions 338 to 795 of the family's 1533-position model. The record is from RNAcentral.
CCUACGGGAGGCAGCAGUGGGGAAUAUUGGUCAAUGGGCGAAAGCCUGAUCCAGCAACGCCGCGUGAGGGAAUACUGCUUUCUGGUUUUAAAAUUCUUUUCUUCGUGGAGAAUAAGCACGGUAGCUCCGGAGCUAACCACGGCCAAAUACGUAGCAGCAGCCACCGUAAUACGAGGGGCGGCAGUGUUACGCGGAUUUACUGGGUGUAAAGGGUGCGUAGGCGGCAGAGCAAGGGUGGAGUGAAAUGCCUGGGCCCAACCCCGGAACUGCCCUUGAAACUGUGAAGCUGGAGUGCAGGAGAGGUAAGCGGAAUGCCUGGUGUAGCGGUGAAAUGCGUAGAUAUCAGGAAGAACACCGGCGGCGAAGGCGGCUUACUGGACUACAACUGACGGUGAGGCACGAAGGCGUGGGGAGCAAACAGGAUUAGAUACCCGAGUAGUC